RNAcentral lists this ribosomal RNA (175 nucleotides) under Bacillus pumilus. RNAcentral's name for it is "partial 16S ribosomal RNA". It matches the Rfam family "Bacterial small subunit ribosomal RNA", at positions 588 to 763 of the family's 1533-position model. The record is from RNAcentral. Lineage: Bacteria; Bacillati; Bacillota; Bacilli; Caryophanales; Bacillaceae.
UCUGAUGUGAAAGCCCACGGCUCAACCGUGGAGGGUCAUUGGAAACUGGGAGACUUGAGUGCAGAAGAGGAAAGUGGAAUUCCAUGUGUAGCGGUGAAAUGCGUAGAGAUAUGGAGGAACACCAGUGGCGAAGGCGACUUUCUGGUCUGUAACUGACACUGAGGCGGAAAGCGGA